CCUACGGGUGGCAGCAGUGGGGAAUAUUGGACAAUGGGGGGAACCCUGAUCCAGCCAUGCCGCGUGUGUGAAGAAGGCCUUUUGGUUGUAAAGCACUUUAAGCGAGGAGGAGGCGCUCUAGGAUAAUACCCUAGAAGCGUGGACGUUACUCGCAGAAUAAGCACCGGCUAACUCUGUGCCAGCAGCCGCGGUAAUACAGAGGGUGCGAGCGUUAAUCGGAUUUACUGGGCGUAAAGCGCGCGUAGGUGGCUAAUUAAGUCAAAUGUGAAAUCCCCGAGCUUAACUUGGGAAUUGCAUUCGAUACUGGUUAGCUAGAGUAUGGGAGAGGAUGGUAGAAUUCCAGGUGUAGCGGUGAAAUGCGUAGAGAUCUGGAGGAAUACCGAUGGCGAAGGCAGCCAUCUGGCCUAAUACUGACACUGAGGUGCGAAAGCAUGGGGAGCAAACAGGAUUAGAUACCCUGGUAGU
RNAcentral lists this ribosomal RNA (465 nucleotides) under Acinetobacter sp. RNAcentral's name for it is "bacterial SSU rRNA". It matches the Rfam family "Bacterial small subunit ribosomal RNA", at positions 338 to 794 of the family's 1533-position model. Lineage: Bacteria; Pseudomonadati; Pseudomonadota; Gammaproteobacteria; Moraxellales; Moraxellaceae. The record is from RNAcentral.